CGUAGAGUUUGAGUCCUGGCUCAGGAUGAACGCUAGCUAUAGGCUUAACACAUGCAAGUACGAGGGGAAACGACAUUGAAGCUUGCUCGAUGGGCGUCGACCGGCGCACGGGUGAGUAACGCGUAUCCAACCUGCCUCUGACUAAGGGAUAACCGGCGAAAGUCGGACUAAUACCUUAUGAGGUUUUCUGCAGACAUCUAAUGAAAACGAAAGAUUUAUCGGUCAGCGAUGGGGAUGCGUCUGAUUAGCUUGUUGGCGGGGUAACGGCCCACCAAGGGCAACGAUCAGUAGGGGUUCUGAGAGGAAGGUCCCCCACAUUGGAACUGAGACACGGUCCAAACUCCUACGGGAGGCAGCAGUGAGGAAUAUUGGUCAAUGGGCGAGAGCCUGAACCAGCCAAGUAGCGUGCAGGAAGACGGCCCUAUGGGUUGUAAACUGCUUUUAUGUGGGGAUAAAGUGAGCUACGUGUAGUUUAUUGCAGGUACCACAUGAAUAAGGACCGGCUAAUUCCGUG
RNAcentral lists this ribosomal RNA (514 nucleotides) under uncultured Prevotella sp. RNAcentral's name for it is "bacterial SSU rRNA". It matches the Rfam family "Bacterial small subunit ribosomal RNA", at positions 1 to 507 of the family's 1533-position model. Lineage: Bacteria; Pseudomonadati; Bacteroidota; Bacteroidia; Bacteroidales; Prevotellaceae. The record is from RNAcentral.